Long non-coding RNA from Oxyura jamaicensis (ruddy duck), 1623 nucleotides. RefSeq lists it as uncharacterized. The transcript has 5 exons. The record is from RefSeq and is a predicted model, not a curated record. Lineage: Eukaryota; Metazoa; Chordata; Aves; Anseriformes; Anatidae.
AUAAAACUUGGUGCUUGACCUAUACAUUUCAGACCAUUCUUUGCUGAAAUUGAAACCAACCCAGGAAGUGUACUUGGUGUCUCCUCACAUCUCACAGAAAUUUGUGGAAAACAUUUCAGCCAGAUCAAUUCCUUCAUCAGGUUUAACUUGUGGUUGCCUAGUAGCUGGAUUUACACUGUGAAGAGGCUGCAGAAAAGAGGAUCUGAGCCAUGACAAUGUGGGUUUCUUCAUCUAGCAGUUCUGGAAAACCAAAAGCAGAGCCAUAAUUUCUGCCAUGGCAUGCAAUGCUGUAUUCAACUUCUGCACAAGUGUUUUGGAAAAGAUAUUCUUCAUUAGACCUAGCACCGUGGCAUGGUUUGACUUCUUCCUGUUUCCCAAUUUGCCACUUAUCUUUAGUAGUCUGGUAGAGUGCAGCUGUGGCACACUAGUUUUUCCUUGCAGUGAUGAGUGUCUCAAGUGGGGGGGUGAUUUGCUUCCUACUCUCUGCAAUCCUGAAAAUGUGGAACUCGUUCCCUCUGGAGUUAUGAAAUGUGGACAGAUUCCUCUUUUUUCCAGUGGAAAAGCAUGAAAUCAUAGCCACAUUGGUUGGAAUUAUUAUUCAUUUAACAGUUAAGCUUCCAUUAUGUUUUACUGUUUGCUACAUGCCGUUUUUAUGUGCCUCAGUUAUAUGCAUUUUGCAGUUAACUGUUUGAAAGGAGAACGAAGUGAUUUACCAGGAUUGUGCCUUUCUCCCCACUAAUUCUGUGCUUUUCUUGUUGUUAGGAUGAUAUUUUUUUUCACGUUGCAUGUGGGCAUGUAGUAAAACAUAAAUAUAUUACAUUUUACUGUCUGAUUCAUAGAGACUCCUAGAAAAAAGAAAACUCUUUGUGUGCUGUGAUAUAUCAUCCCUAUAUGUGGGUAUAACCAGAGCUUAGUUUUAUGCUGCGUGGUGAAGUUCUCUGCACAAGCCCUAUUCUGAAGGAAGCUGUACAAAAGCAGUUUUUUCUGGAAGCUACCACAUUGUGGAAUUGUGCCUUCUGGGUCAGAGAUGAAAGGAGCUGGCCAGUAAGUCUGAAGCUGAAACAUUUUUUUCCAAAGGACAUCUUUGGUUGCUGAUGGAUUUUUUUAGAGUCUGAGUCAAAAAGUACUCUGUUUUCCUACUGACCUAUUUUUCAUGAAUCUUGAAAAAAAAAAAAAAAAAAAAAAAAAGCAUGGUCUGUGAUUUUCAUCUCUAAGUGUACCCUAAAGAGUGUAGGUGUAUGUGUUUGUCCUGAAUUUGUUCAUGGACUACUCAAAACUGACAAAUAAUGAGUCAUGUGAGACUGGCCAUGUGCUUGUUUUUGGAUGGCUGAAUUAUAAAGGAAAAGUAAUGCAGAUAUCUUAACAUUAUGUGACCUUUGAAUAUUGUCAAUAUAAUUAGAAAUCCUUUUGGUAAUCUUAGUAGUCCACAGGAGAGUAAGCAUUAUCAUAUCGGUUCAGUGGAUCUCCUGCACUAUGACAAUUUCAUUAUUAUAAUGUUCGUUGUUGAAAUCAUUCCCAAAUCUUGCAGUCUUGAAGAGAUGAGAGAAACAGGGGAAGUGCAUGCCCUGAUAGUAGCUUUUCUAUGGUAUAAGUUUAGGAGGUAAUUUAUUUUCACAUUCCAAU